GCGGGUGUAGUUCAAUGGUAGAAUGCAAGCCUUCCAAGCUUGUCAUGUCGGUUCGAUCCCGAUCGCCCGCUCCA
Molecule: transfer RNA, 74 nt
Filed under: Candidatus Omnitrophota bacterium
Lineage: Bacteria; Pseudomonadati; Candidatus Omnitrophota
Also listed under: 1 other name
Description: tRNA-Gly
Rfam family: tRNA
About the family: Transfer RNA (tRNA) molecules are approximately 80 nucleotides in length. Their secondary structure includes four short double-helical elements and three loops (D, anti-codon, and T loops).
Source: RNAcentral